RNAcentral lists this transfer RNA (51 nucleotides) under Cedrus deodara (deodar cedar). Its description in RNAcentral is "partial tRNA-His". Lineage: Eukaryota; Viridiplantae; Streptophyta; Pinopsida; Pinales; Pinaceae. RNAcentral also lists the same sequence under 1 other name. The record is from RNAcentral.
CGGACGUAGCCAAGUGGACCAAGGCAGUGGAUUGUGAAUCCACCAUGCGCG